RNAcentral lists this ribosomal RNA (1074 nucleotides) under Klebsiella aerogenes. RNAcentral's name for it is "partial 23S ribosomal RNA". It matches the Rfam family "Bacterial large subunit ribosomal RNA", at positions 452 to 1533 of the family's 2925-position model. Lineage: Bacteria; Pseudomonadati; Pseudomonadota; Gammaproteobacteria; Enterobacterales; Enterobacteriaceae. The record is from RNAcentral.
ACCAUCCUCCAAGGCUAAAUACUCCUGACUGACCGAUAGUGAACCAGUACCGUGAGGGAAAGGCGAAAAGAACCCCGGCGAGGGGAGUGAAAAAGAACCUGAAACCGUGUACGUACAAGCAGUGGGAGCACCUUCGGGUGUGACUGCGUACCUUUUGUAUAAUGGGUCAGCGACUUAUAUUCUGUAGCAAGGUUAACCGUAUAGGGGAGCCGCAGGGAAACCGAGUCUUAACUGGGCGUUAAGUUGCAGGGUAUAGACCCGAAACCCGGUGAUCUAGCCAUGGGCAGGUUGAAGGUUGGGUAACACUAACUGGAGGACCGAACCGACUAAUGUUGAAAAAUUAGCGGAUGACUUGUGGCUGGGGGUGAAAGGCCAAUCAAACCGGGAGAUAGCUGGUUCUCCCCGAAAGCUAUUUAGGUAGCGCCUCGUGAACUCAUCUUCGGGGGUAGAGCACUGUUUCGGCUAGGGGGUCAUCCCGACUUACCAACCCGAUGCAAACUACGAAUACCGAAGAAUGUUAUCACGGGAGACACACGGCGGGUGCUAACGUCCGUCGUGAAGAGGGAAACAACCCAGACCGCCAGCUAAGGUCCCAAAGUCACAGUUAAGUGGGAAACGAUGUGGGAAGGCACAGACAGCCAGGAUGUUGGCUUAGAAGCAGCCAUCAUUUAAAGAAAGCGUAAUAGCUCACUGGUCGAGUCGGCCUGCGCGGAAGAUGUAACGGGGCUAAACUGUGCACCGAAGCUGCGGCAGCGACACUAUGUGUUGUUGGGUAGGGGAGCGUUCUGUAAGCCUGCGAAGGUGGCCUGUGAGGGUUGCUGGAGGUAUCAGAAGUGCGAAUGCUGACAUAAGUAACGAUAAUGCGGGUGAAAAGCCCGCACGCCGGAAGACCAAGGGUUCCUGUCCAACGUUAAUCGGGGCAGGGUGAGUCGACCCCUAAGGCGAGGCCGAAAGGCGUAGUCGAUGGGAAACAGGUUAAUAUUCCUGUACUUGGUGUUACUGCGAAGGGGGGACGGAGAAGGCUAUGUUAGCCGGGCGACGGUUGUCCCGGUUUAAGCAUGUAGGCGGAGGUUC